GACGCAGCAACGCCGCGUGGAGGAUGAAGGUCUUCGGAUUGUAAACUCCUUUUCUUGGGGAAGAGCAAGGACGGUACCUGAGGAAUAAGUCACGGCUAACUACGUGCCAGCAGCCGCGGUAAUACGUAGGUGGCAAGCGUUAUCCGGAAUUACUGGGCGUAAAGCGCACGCAGGCGGCCCUUUAAGUUUGACGUGAAAGCUCCUGGCUUAACUGGGAGAGGUCGUUGAAGACUGGAGGGCUUGAGACGAUGAGAGGGGUGCAGAAUUCCCGGUGUAGUGGUGGAAUGCGUAGAUAUCGGGAGGAAUACCAGUGGCGAAGGCGGCACCCUGGCAUCGGUCUGACGCUCAUGUGCGAAGGCGUGGGGAGCGAACGGGAUUAGAUACCCCGGUAGUCCACGCGGUAAACGAUGAACACUGGGUGUGGGGAGCGUAAAGCUGUCCGUGCCGAAGCCAACGCGUUAAGUGUUCCGCCUGGGGAGUACGGCCGCAAGGCUA
This 495-nucleotide ribosomal RNA is filed under the name uncultured Chloroflexota bacterium. Its description in RNAcentral is "bacterial SSU rRNA". It matches the Rfam family "Bacterial small subunit ribosomal RNA", at positions 385 to 896 of the family's 1533-position model. The record is from RNAcentral. Lineage: Bacteria; Bacillati; Chloroflexota.